AGAUCAUGAUACCUACCACCUUCAGGUCAGCUACGACACGAGCGCUCCUCGUUCGUCUCGUAACUGCCCUGAAGGUGGUCCUGGCGUCUUUA
This 92-nucleotide microRNA precursor is filed under the name Nematostella vectensis (starlet sea anemone). RNAcentral's name for it is "microRNA nve-mir-2040b precursor". The stretch from base 8 to 88 matches the Rfam family "mir-2040 microRNA precursor family". The record is from miRBase by way of RNAcentral. Lineage: Eukaryota; Metazoa; Cnidaria; Anthozoa; Actiniaria; Edwardsiidae.